This 253-nucleotide ribosomal RNA is filed under the name uncultured bacterium. RNAcentral's name for it is "partial 16S ribosomal RNA". It matches the Rfam family "Bacterial small subunit ribosomal RNA", at positions 524 to 776 of the family's 1533-position model. The record is from RNAcentral.
GACGGAGGGUGCUAGCGUUGUUCGGAAUCACUGGGCGUAAAGCGCACGUAGGCGGCUUUUUAAGUCAGGGGUGAAAUCCUGGAGCUCAACUCCAGAACUGCCUUUGAUACUGAGAAGCUUGAGUCCGGGAGAGGUGAGUGGAACUGCGAGUGUAGAGGUGAAAUUCGUAGAUAUUCGCAAGAACACCAGUGGCGAAGGCGGCUCACUGGCCCGGUACUGACGCUGAGGUGCGAAAGCGUGGGGAGCAAACAGG